UUUCUGUUUGAUGUCUAGACUCCAGAGGCUUCUAUUCCAUUAUUAGGGUUUUGAGUUUCUCUCAUUAGGAUUUUGAGUUUCUUUCCCCUUUGCCUUUUUUUUUGGAUGGACCCCUGGUUCCAGUCUUCCAUCGAUAAUUAAGUUUCUCUCGUUAGGAUUUCUCACUCUCUUCUCAGAAUUCAGAGGAUCUCCAAGCCCCA
Molecule: long non-coding RNA, 200 nt
Filed under: Elaeis guineensis (African oil palm)
Lineage: Eukaryota; Viridiplantae; Streptophyta; Magnoliopsida; Arecales; Arecaceae
Description: long non-coding RNA (EGUI_LNC052079)
Source: RNAcentral